This 22-nucleotide unclassified non-coding RNA is filed under the name Dictyostelium discoideum. Lineage: Eukaryota; Evosea; Eumycetozoa; Dictyosteliales; Dictyosteliaceae. The record is from RNAcentral.
UAACUCAAGUGGUAAUAACACA